Molecule: ribosomal RNA, 468 nt
Filed under: uncultured bacterium
Lineage: Bacteria
Description: partial 16S ribosomal RNA
Rfam family: Bacterial small subunit ribosomal RNA
Source: RNAcentral
GACGAACGCUGGCGGCGGGCUUAACACAUGCAAGUCGAACGGAAAGGCCCUGCUUUUGUGGGGUGCUCGAGUGGCGAACGGGUGAGUAACACGUGAGUAACCUGCCCUUGACUUUGGGAUAACUUCAGGAAACUGGGGCUAAUACCGGAUAGGAGCUCCUGCUGCAUGGUGGGGGUUGGAAAGUUUCGGCGGUUGGGGAUGGACUCGCGGCUUAUCAGCUUGUUGGUUGGGUAGUGGCUUACCAAGGCUUUGACGGGUAGCCGGCCUGAGAGGGUGACCGGCCACAUUGGGACUGAGAUACGGCCCAGACUCCUACGGGAGGCAGCAGUGGGGAAUAUUGCACAAUGGGCGGAAGCCUGAUGAAGAAACGCCGCGUGCGGGAUGACGGCCUUCGGGUUGUAAACCGCUUUCGCCUGUGACGAAGCGUGAGUGACGGUAAUGGGUAAAGAAGCACCGGCUAACUACGUG